This 200-nucleotide ribosomal RNA is filed under the name uncultured bacterium. Its description in RNAcentral is "partial 16S ribosomal RNA". It matches the Rfam family "Bacterial small subunit ribosomal RNA", at positions 524 to 723 of the family's 1533-position model. The record is from RNAcentral.
UACGAAUGGGGCAAGCGUUGUUCGGAAUCACUGGGCUUAAAGCGUGCGCAGGCGGACUUGAAAGUCGGGAGUGAAAUCCCAGGGCUCAACCCUGGAACUGCUCUCGAAACUCCAAGUCUAGAAUUCGAUAGAGGUAGGGGGAAUUCCUAGUGUAGAGGUGAAAUUCGCAGAUAUUAGGAGGAACACCAGUGGCGUAGGCG